Molecule: ribosomal RNA, 349 nt
Filed under: uncultured bacterium
Lineage: Bacteria
Description: bacterial SSU rRNA
Rfam family: Bacterial small subunit ribosomal RNA
Source: RNAcentral
AGAGUUUGAUCCUGGCUCAGGAUGAACGCUAGCUACAGGCUUAACACAUGCAAGUCGAGGGGCAGCAUUUUAGUUUGCUUGCAAACUAAAGAUGGCGACCGGCGCACGGGUGAGUAACACGUAUCCAACCUACCGAUAACUCUGGAAUAGCCUUUCGAAAGAAAGAUUAAUACCGGAUAGUAUACGAAUAUCGCAUGAUAUUUUUAUAAAGAAUUUCGGUUAUCGAUGGGGAUGCGUUCCAUUAGUUGUUGGCGGGGUAACGGCCACCAAGACUACGAUGGAUAGGGGUUCUGAGAGGAAGGUCCCCCANAUUGGAACUGAGACACGGUCCAAACUCCUACGGGAGGCA